AGAGUUUGAUCCUGGCUCAGGACGAACGCUGGCGGCGUGCCUAACACAUGCAAGUCGAGCGGAGAUUAGCGGAUGGUAACUGAAGCUAAUUUUAGCGGCGGACGGGUGAGUAACACGUGGGCAACCUGCCUCGAAGAGGGGGAUAACACCGGGAAAUCGGUGCUAAUACCGCAUAACAUACACACAUCACAUGGUGAGUGUAUCAAAGGAGAAAUCCGCUUUGAGAUGGGCCCGCGGCUGAUUAGCUAGUUGGUAAGGUAAUGGCUUACCAAGGCGACGAUCAGUAGCCGACCUGAGAGGGUGACCGGCCACACUGGAACUGAGACACGGUCCAGACUCCUACGGGAGGCAGCAGUGGGGAAUAUUGCGCAAUGGGGGAAACCCUGACGCAGCAACGCCGCGUGGAGGAAGAAGGUUUUCGGAUUGUAAACUCCUGUCUUCUGGGACGAUAAUGACGGUACCAGAGGAGGAAGCCACGGCUAACUACGUGCCAGCAGCCGCGGUAAUACGUAGGUGGCGAGCGUUGUCCGGAAUUACUGGGCGUAAAGGGCGCGUAGGCGGCUCUUUAAGUCAGAUGUGAAAACCCGAGGCUUAACUUCGGGAGUGCAUUUAAAACUGGGGAGCUUGAGUGCAGGAGAGGUAAGUGGAAUUCCUAGUGUAGCGGUGAAAUGCGUAGAUAUUAGGAGGAACACCAGUGGCGAAGGCGACUUACUGGACUGUAACUGACGCUGAGGCGCGAAAGCGUGGGGAGCAAACAGGAUUAGAUACCCUGGUAGUCCACGCUGUAAACGAUGGAUACUAGGUGUGGGAGGUAUCGACCCCUUCCGUGCCGCAGUUAACGCAAUAAGUAUCCCGCCUGGGGAGUACGGCCGCAAGGUUGAAACUCAAAUGAAUUGACGG
This 900-nucleotide ribosomal RNA is filed under the name uncultured Eubacteriales bacterium. RNAcentral's name for it is "bacterial SSU rRNA". It matches the Rfam family "Bacterial small subunit ribosomal RNA", at positions 8 to 916 of the family's 1533-position model. The record is from RNAcentral. Lineage: Bacteria; Bacillati; Bacillota; Clostridia; Eubacteriales.